Molecule: small RNA, 572 nt
Filed under: Drosophila mojavensis
Lineage: Eukaryota; Metazoa; Arthropoda; Insecta; Diptera; Drosophilidae
Description: GI26048
Source: RNAcentral
CUCCUCAACAGCAUCAACAUUACUGUGUUUGGUUUGCCUGUUUGAAACACUAAAUAUAUAUAUCCUAAGCGAAGAUACUUGAAGGAGACUGUAUGCUGAAAGAAGUUUCAUUUUACCAUAAUAAAAACUCCAUAUAACCUUGACGGUACCACGUCCUCGAAUUGGGGUCGCGUAGUUUGCGUCGGUUGUAAAUGAACAUGCUGCAUAUUAAUGUAUUUACUACUUGAUACCAAAUAACUGCCUGAUACAUAUAAAUAAUAUAAAAAUCAACAUGGAUAAAUACUGUCAUCAUUAUCUAGAAAUAUUAUUAUUUAUAUGUAUAUAAAUCAAAUAAUCUGGAACUGCUUAAAGAAGGAAGCUGCCUGCUAAAUCUAUAAAAAUACUUGUACGCCCAUUACACUCGAACGUUGUCUGCCUGCAUUACGUUCCGAUCUGAGCGGUACCACGAUACUAUCACCACCUUAAGAGAAGUCAUAAUUGCCUUGCCUGACUUCAUCGUGCAGCUCGCGCUCAGUUCGACACAUUGGACAUUGAUGUACUAAGUGCUACUUAAAUAAAUACCUAUAGAAAAU